UGGCCUUGUCAGUGUGAAGUGUUUCCCUUUAUUACUCUAUUUCAAAGCUAGUGAGAUUUCAUUGUGAACCAUAUUUUGGUGCCACAAUCAUAAAGAUUCAGGAUAUAGCCACCUCAAUCUUUCUGUUUCCUCUUUCAGCCCACAAAUCAGGUUGUACUUUACUGGCCAAUACUUGCAUCUGGAUAGAUGUAGGAUUGUUCUGAUCAUCUCUAUUUGAGGGUUUUGGCUGAAAAACAUCAGGUGCUUGCGGUGAAAUGUUGAUGCGAGGAAAAUGCAAAACUCACCUUUAUCUGGGCACCUCUGAUAGUUCCCGUACUUUAACAGUAUCUGCAAGAAGCUUUCUAAAACAUCUUGAUGACAGUCUAUAGUAUUUGGUGAUAGCAGAAUAUAGGACUGCGAAGC
Molecule: long non-coding RNA, 402 nt
Organism: Daphnia pulicaria
Lineage: Eukaryota; Metazoa; Arthropoda; Branchiopoda; Diplostraca; Daphniidae
Exons: 5
Source: RefSeq, a predicted model, not a curated record